Molecule: long non-coding RNA, 432 nt
Organism: Andrographis paniculata
Lineage: Eukaryota; Viridiplantae; Streptophyta; Magnoliopsida; Lamiales; Acanthaceae
Exons: 4
Source: RefSeq, a predicted model, not a curated record
UAAAAGCCCAAGGUAAAAAGAAGAAUGGGCCUGGCAAUAGGGUUGAUUGAACUGGCUGAAGGACACCGUGAGGAAAUCAAGGAAAAUAAAUUUAUUUAUUUAUUUCUAAGGAAAAUACAGGACGGAAAGACCUCAGGACGGAAGGUUCUUAGGUCGGUAGGUCCUCAGGACGGAAAGACCUCAGGACGGAAGGUUCUUAGGUCGGUAGGUCCUCAGGACGGAAAGACCUCAGGUCGGAAGGUCCGCAAGACGGAAAGACCUCAAGUCGGAAGGUCUUCAGGUCGGGAGGUCCGCAAGACGGAAAGACCUCAAGUCGGAAGGUCUUCAGGUCGGGAGGUCCGCAAGACGGAAAGACCUCAAGUCGGAAGGUCUUCAGGUCGGGAGGUCCGCAAGACGGAAAGACGAUGAGUCGGAAGGUUUUCAAGUCGGGAG